CCUCGCCGUGGUUACCGUUGCCAGGGCAACGCGGCAGCGCUCGGAGGGUGAGCGGAGCCGGGCCCGCGCGCGCGGGAUGGGCCUUCACCUAGCACGAGGCCUACCACGGCCUCCAGCGCCCGGAACCCCAGUUCGGCGCUUUAGCGUCUGAGUUUGGGCUGCCGGAGCGGCGGGCGCGGGGCGAGGAGGCGGGCGCGGGCGGCGCUCCCACUGGGGUGGCGCUGGGGUGAGAGCGCUGGCUAGGCCCGCUCACUCGGCCGACCUGGGAGAGAUCAUCGGAGAAGCUCUUUUGGGAAACGAGCAUAAGGAGUGUGACGGUGAAGGGAGAAUAUCAUGGGAAAUGUUUGCAAAAGAGCCGGAUAAAGAGACUUUCCUUAGGGGAUGAGUGUCCCAUCUGAAUGGAACAGCCAGCUUUCAAGGAACAGGAAGGGGCAAGAGGGGUAUAACAUGGAGAAUCAGAAUGGACCAAUUACCGAAGACUUUCCUGAUUCCCUGGAAUCUCCUCCAGCACAUGAUAAAUCUAUAUGUCAGCUUAUUUUAAGAUGAUGAGGUGACGGCUUCAAUGAAGUUUGUGAACACCUAACCAGAGACAACAGAUGGAUGUCAGAUUAAAAGCAGCUGCAUUUCUGGAAUCCUGCACACAGAAGGCAAUUCAGAGGAAAUUUAGUUGGAUCCCCUGCUUUCUGAGCUUCUUGAAGACUCAACGAUGGAAAAGUACAUUCUUCGGUCCUACCAUAAUUCGUACUUCAAACCAGAAGAAAAUAAUCGUUUCCAGGAAAAACAAAAACAAAAAACAGUGAGGUUUCCUGCUUUAAAUGGGAGCAUUUGACUGAAUCUAAUCAGCGUAUAUCAGAUUGAACCUUUAAAGAAGGGCUACUAAGGGUGAGAUCUAACAAUAUAUCUCAAACCUCCUCAACAGCUUACUGAAGUCCCUAUGUGACAAAUGAGUUCUGCACUGAUAAAUCAAAAUUAUUAA
Molecule: long non-coding RNA, 976 nt
Organism: Pongo pygmaeus (Bornean orangutan)
Lineage: Eukaryota; Metazoa; Chordata; Mammalia; Primates; Hominidae
Exons: 4
Source: RefSeq, a predicted model, not a curated record